This 206-nucleotide long non-coding RNA is filed under the name Nicotiana benthamiana. Its description in RNAcentral is "long non-coding RNA (NBEN_LNC006159)". The record is from RNAcentral. Lineage: Eukaryota; Viridiplantae; Streptophyta; Magnoliopsida; Solanales; Solanaceae.
AGAUAUAGCCUAUUUACAUGACUGGCCUAAUUGCAAGUAUAGCCUAUUUACACAACUAGUCUAAUUACAGACAUAGACAAACAAAUUACAAAAAUAGCUUAAUUGUAGAAGUAGCCUAUUAGGCUCAGAUAUGACUCUUUCCUUCAAUGACCAAAAUGGUCUACAUGUGAGUAGUAUCGUCAUUGCCUAUUUACAUAUCUCAACAC